CUACUUUUGUGGUUGUUAAAACGUUUCCUAAAACUGGUAAUUGUACUCCCCACAUACUUUUUCCCACAUUUUCUACAAUAAAUCAAAUAAAUCACCCCAGCCGAAUCGCAAUCAAAGUUGUAAUUAAUGUAGUAUUUUACUUUUCCCUCGAGAAAUUCUUUCCCCUCAUCUACAUAAUUACAAAUCUGACAACGACUCUCAUUACACUUACUCAUCCCUACACUUACCUCCCUAGGCGUUUUAACCUUAGAUCUAACCAAACUAUCUUUUAAAUUUUUUGGUCUCUUAUAUGAAACAAUCGGCCUACUACCGAAGACAUCC
This is a non-coding RNA of Paramuricea clavata, 321 nucleotides long. The record is from the annotation of a GenBank genome assembly. Lineage: Eukaryota; Metazoa; Cnidaria; Anthozoa; Malacalcyonacea; Plexauridae.